This 253-nucleotide ribosomal RNA is filed under the name uncultured bacterium. RNAcentral's name for it is "partial 16S ribosomal RNA". It matches the Rfam family "Bacterial small subunit ribosomal RNA", at positions 524 to 776 of the family's 1533-position model. The record is from RNAcentral.
CACGUAGGGCGCAAGCGUUGUCCGGAAUUAUUGGGCGUAAAGAGCUCGUAGGCGGUCUGUUGCGUCUGCUGUGAAAACUCGGGGCUUAACCCCGAGCCUGCAGUGGAUACGGGCAGACUAGAGGUAGGUAGGGGAGAAUGGAAUUCCCAGUGUAGCGGUGAAAUGCGCAGAUAUCGGGAGGAACACCGGUGGCGAAGGCGGGUCUCUGGGCAACUACUGACGCUGAGGAGCGAAAGCGUGGGGAGCGAACAGG